RNAcentral lists this ribosomal RNA (468 nucleotides) under uncultured bacterium. RNAcentral's name for it is "partial 16S ribosomal RNA". It matches the Rfam family "Bacterial small subunit ribosomal RNA", at positions 28 to 507 of the family's 1533-position model. The record is from RNAcentral.
GACGAACGCUGGCGGCGUGCUUAACACAUGCAAGUCGAACGGAAAGGCCCUGCUUUUGUGGGGUGCUCGAGUGGCGAACGGGUGAGUAACACGUGAGUAACCUGCCCUUGACUUUGGGAUAACUUCAGGAAACUGGGGCUAAUACCGGAUAGGAGCUCCUGCUGCAUGUUGGGGGUUGGAAAGUGUCGGCGGUGGGGGAUGGACUCGCGGCUUAUCAGCUUGUUGGUGGGGUAGUGGCUUACCAAGGCUUUGACGGGUAGCCGGCCUGAGAGGGUGACCGGCCACAUUGGGACUGAGAUACGGCCCAGACGCCUACGGGAGGCAGCAGUGGGGAAUAUUGCACAAUGGGCGGAAGCCUGAUGCAGCAACGCCGCGUGCGGGAUGACGGCCUUCGGGUUGUAAACCGCUUUCGCCUGUGACGAAGCGUGAGUGACGGUAAUGGGUAAAGAAGCACCGGCUAACUACGUG